GAUGAAGAACGUAGCGAAAUGCGAUAAGUAAUGUGAAUUGCAGAAUUCAGUGAAUCAUCGAAUCUUUGAACGCACAUUGCGCCCGCCAGUAUUCUGGCGGGCAUGCCUGUUCGAGCGUCAUUUCAACCAUCAAGCCCCCGGGCUUGUGUUGGGGACCUGCGGCUGCCCGCAGGCCCUGAAAACCAGUGGCGGGCUCGCUGUCACACCGAGCGUAGUAGCAUAUCAUCUCGCUCUGGGCGUGCUGCGGGUUCCGGCCGUUAAAGCCUUUUUUUUUACCCAAGGUUGACCUCGGAUCAGGUAGGAAGACCCGCUGAACUUAAGCAUAUCAAUAAGCGGAGGA
RNAcentral lists this unclassified non-coding RNA (340 nucleotides) under soil metagenome. RNAcentral's name for it is "partial contains 5.8S ribosomal RNA, internal transcribed spacer 2, and large subunit ribosomal RNA". The stretch from base 1 to 120 matches the Rfam family "5.8S ribosomal RNA", at positions 35 to 154 of the family's 154-position model. The record is from RNAcentral.